RNAcentral lists this ribosomal RNA (300 nucleotides) under uncultured Lactobacillus sp. Its description in RNAcentral is "partial 16S ribosomal RNA". It matches the Rfam family "Bacterial small subunit ribosomal RNA", at positions 496 to 795 of the family's 1533-position model. Lineage: Bacteria; Bacillati; Bacillota; Bacilli; Lactobacillales; Lactobacillaceae. The record is from RNAcentral.
GGUAAUCGCGGGCCAGCGGGGGGGGUAAUACGGAGGGUCCGAUGGUUAAUCGGGAUUACUGGGCGUAAAGCGUGCGCAGGCGGUUUGGUAAGCGAGAGGUGAAAGGCCUGGGCUCAACCUAGGAAUAGCAUUUCGAACUGGCGAACUAGAGUCUUGUAGAGGGGGGUAGAAUUCCAGGUGUAGCGGUGAAAUGCGUAGAGAUCUGGAGGAAUACCGGUGGCGAAGGCGGCCCCCUGGACAAAGACUGACGCUCAUGCACGAAAGCGUGGGGAGCAAACAGGAUUAGAUACCCUUGUAGUC